CAGCCGCCGCGGUAAUACGAGGGGUGCAAGCGUUAUUCGGAUUGAUUGGGUGUAAAGGGUGUGCAGACGGCUUAUUAAGUCACUUGUUAAAUUCUUCGGCCUAACUGAAGGUCUGCAAGUGAUACUGAUGAGCUAGAGGGUGGAAGAGAGAAGUGGAAUUCUCGGAGUAGCGGUAAAAUGCGUAGAUCUCGAGAGGAACACCAAUGGCGAAGGCAGCUUCUUGGUCCAUUCCUGACGUUCAUACACGAAAGCGUGGGAACAAACAGGAUUAGAUACCCCCGUAGUCCCUGUCUCUUAUACA
This 301-nucleotide ribosomal RNA is filed under the name uncultured bacterium. Its description in RNAcentral is "partial 16S ribosomal RNA". It matches the Rfam family "Bacterial small subunit ribosomal RNA", at positions 509 to 808 of the family's 1533-position model. The record is from RNAcentral.